UUUAGACGAGGAGCGUUUGGUCCCGACAAACAGUAUGCGUGCAUGUACCGCCGUGGUGACUGAGAUAUCUUUCAACCAUGCACCAAACCGUUACAGAGCAGAGAUUGAAUUUAUUUCUUUGGCAGAGUGGGAGGAGGAAUUAAAAUUAAUUUUUGGUGAUAUCGAACUUGGGAAUCAACAGAAGGGAGAUAAUUCCGACUCUGCGAUUGCUCGAGCAAAAACGACUGCGGUAUACCCGGACACCCCAGACAUUCUAAAAUCGUCGAUCAAAGAGCUUUUAGUACAUGAAAAUGUGUCAAAUGUUCUAGGGAAAACGAUUGAAUUCGCCGAAGAUGAUCCGAUUGUUUUCUACACCCAACUUCAGAAAUACGUUGACAGCAAAACCAAGACCCGAGGCAAAGGCAUGAAGGGGAAGAGCAAAACUGGUGGUCAAAAAGGUUGUAAUGGAGGUUUGCGGAACGCGAAGGAAAGCGUGGGAACCAGCAUGGAAUUUUGGCCUUUGAUACGCAUCGUUCGCUUGUACGUCAAGGCGCCUGUUCUUGCUACCGGAGCUGCUAUUGUCGACUUGCCUGGCAUGCAGGAUGCCAAUGCUGCGAGAGCUGCAGUUGCGUCUCGAUACAUUGAACAAUGCUCCUCUCUUUGGGUGGUGGCUCCCAUAACGCGGGCAGUGGAUGAUAAAACAGCGAAGACCCUUCUCUCAAAUAAUUUCCAAAGACGGAUCCAAAUGGACGGCACCCUUAGUGCAGUGACAUUCAUAUGUUCCAAAACUGAUGAUAUUAAUUUAUCAGAAAUGGUUCUUGAUUUUGAGGAUAU
Molecule: small RNA, 813 nt
Filed under: Histoplasma capsulatum
Lineage: Eukaryota; Fungi; Ascomycota; Eurotiomycetes; Onygenales; Ajellomycetaceae
Also listed under: 1 other name
Description: hypothetical RNA
Source: RNAcentral